GUCCUGCUCCGCGCGCUCGCCACGCACUCCCCUCCGCUCCUCGACGCGCUCCUCCCCUUCGCGCUCUCCUCCCCGUCCCCCGACGCCCUCCUGCCCCGCCUGCUCUCCGCGCUCCUCUCCGCCUCCCGCCUCGACGCCGCGCUCGCACUCCUCCAAGACGCCCCUCCCGACCUCCUCCCCCGCCUCGCCGCCGCCGCCAUCCCUUCCCUCAUCGCCUCCCCUGACCCCAUCUCCGCCGUCCCCGCCAUCCGCAGGCUGCUUCCCAUCGCCUCCCACCCGCCUCACGUCCGAGCCACCAACCGCCUCCUCCUCGCCUUGUCCAAGGAGAACCUCCACGAUGACUUCUGCCAUGUGUUCGACGAAAUGUCAAGGAGGGGCCUUCCUUCCAACUUGAGGUUCUACAACAUUUGCAUCCACGCCUUCGGCAAGUGGAAGCGCCUGGAUAAGUCCCUCAAGCUCUUCGCGGCCAUGAAAGCUGCCUCUCCUCCGCUUGUGCCAGAUAUAUGCACGUACAAUUCGGUCAUACGUGUGCUUGUGAUCGGCGGGAGGGUGGCUGACGCUUUGGUGGUCUUUGAUGAAAUGAAGUUGGCUGGGAUCCACCCAGACGUGUUCACUUACCGCGCAGUCGUGGAUGGGUGCUGCAAGAGUUUCAGGAUGGAUGACGCACUGCGUCUGUUUCAGGAGAUGCGCGGGGGCACCGGGCUGAAGGGGGAUGUCGUCGUGUACAAUUCGCUUCUGGAUGGACUCUUCAAAGCAAAGAGGCUUGAUGAGGCAUGUGGUUUUUUCGAGACAAUGGUGGCGGAUGGGAUCCAAUGCUCAGCGAGCACACACAACACCGUGAUCGAUGGGCUGUUCAAGAACGGGAGGGCAGAAGCUGCAUGUCGGCUGUUCUAUGAGCUAAGGAAGAAAGGUCAGCUAUUGGAUGGGAUUGCAUACAGUAUUAUGGUAAGGGAGUUCUGCAAGGAGGGCACAGGGGACCAAGUUGCAGAGGCAGUCAGUUUGGUCAAGGAGAUGGAAGAUCGGGGCUUUGUUAUUGAUUUGGUUACCGUUACAUCAUUACUUCUAGGUUUUAACAAGAGUAGACGGUGGGAUUUGGAAGAGAAGAUAGUGAAGAUCAUAAGAGAUAGCUCUGUCUUGCCAGAUGCCAUCCGAUGGAAGUCCAACAUGAUGGAUGCCUUGACAGGACCACAAGAUAGAGCGAAAGAUGGAACAUCAAUCUUUCCAUUUGAUGGUAAUAUGAACGAUGUGAUGAGUUUGCUCAAUCCUGCAGUAUGCACUGAUACAAAUGAAGGAACCACACAUAAUGAACCCAAGGAUGAUUGGUCUUUGUCCCCACACUUAGAUCAUCUUGCCAAACAUGCUGACCAUUCAAAUAAUUCUGCUAUAUUUACAGUACACAGAGGUCAGAGGGUGGAAGGCAUGGGGGGUAAAACUUUCGAUGCUGACAUGGUUAAUACAUAUAUGUCAAUCUUUUUGGCCAAAGGGAAGUUGAGUGUAGCCUGCAAGUUAUUUGAGAUCUUUACAAAUCUGGGAAGGAAAGGGACAAGUUAUACAUACAAUUCACUGAUGGCCUCAUUUGUCAAGAAGGGGUAUUUGAAGCAGGUCUGGGCAGUUCUUCACGAGAGGGGUGGACAGCUCUGCCCCAAUGACAUAGCAACAUACAAUCUGAUAAUUCAAGGUCUUGGCCAGAUGGGGAAAACAGAGGUUGCUAGCUCAAUCAUGGAACAAUUGUCAAAGAAAGGUGUUUACAUGGAUAUUGUUAUGUACAAUACUUUGAUCAAUCAAUUGGGAAAGGUCGGGAAGGUUGAAGAAGCAAACUGUUUGCUUGAGCAGAUUACCACAAGGGGCAUGAGACCAGAUCUUGUUACUUUUAAUACCUUGAUCAAUAUUAAUGCGAAAGCUGGUAGGUUGAAGGAAGCCGACAAGUAUUUGAGGAGGAUGAUUGCAGAAGGCAUUGCUCCAAAUCACGUAACGGAAACAAUAAUGAUUUUCCUUGAUAAGGAGAUUCAAAAGAAAAAACAGCAAUCUAAAUGA
RNAcentral lists this ribosomal RNA (2034 nucleotides) under Triticum aestivum (bread wheat). RNAcentral describes it as "partial small subunit ribosomal RNA". The record is from RNAcentral. Lineage: Eukaryota; Viridiplantae; Streptophyta; Magnoliopsida; Poales; Poaceae.